This 311-nucleotide small nuclear RNA is filed under the name Vulpes vulpes (red fox). Its description in RNAcentral is "7SK RNA (ENSVVUG00000006330.1)". It matches the Rfam family "7SK RNA". From Rfam's summary of the family: 7SK was discovered as an abundant small nuclear RNA in the mid-70s but a possible function has only recently been suggested. Two independent studies have found that 7SK RNA binds the CDK9/cyclin T complex (known as elongation factor P-TEFb). Lineage: Eukaryota; Metazoa; Chordata; Mammalia; Carnivora; Canidae. The record is from RNAcentral.
GUAUUUCUUUGGUGAUCUGGCUACAACAGCUAUCACCCCUAUUGAUCUCCAAGAUGGACUCAGCUGAUCUGACUGGCUAGGCGGGUAUCCCCUUUCUCCCUUACCACUCCACGUGUGUCCUUUCCAAAGCUUUGUGCUCAAAGAGGAUGACUUUCCCUGAUAGAAGGUAUAGGUAUACGAGUAACUGUGCUUCCCUGCUAGAACCUCCAUUUGAGCUCUCAAGGUCCAUUUGUAGGAGAAGUAGGUUAGUCAAGCUUCCGAGGCUCCAGACAUCCAAAUGAGGCACUGCAUGUGACAGUCUGCCUUAAAAU